UACGUAGGUGGCAAGCGUUGUCCGGAAUUAUUGGGCGUAAAGAGCUCGUAGGCGGUUUGUCGCGUCUGCCGUGAACGUCCGGGGCUCAACUCCGGAUCUGCGGUGGGUACGGGCAGCCUAGCGGGAUGUAGGGGAGACUGGAAUUCCUGGUGUAGCGGUGAAAUGCGCAGAUAUCUGGAGGAACACCGAUGGCGAAGGCAGGUCUCUGGGCAUUAACUGACGCGGAGGAGCGAAAGCAUGGGGAGCGAACAGG
RNAcentral lists this unclassified non-coding RNA (253 nucleotides) under uncultured Micrococcaceae bacterium. RNAcentral describes it as "contains 16S-23S intergenic spacer region". It matches the Rfam family "Bacterial small subunit ribosomal RNA", at positions 524 to 776 of the family's 1533-position model. The record is from RNAcentral. Lineage: Bacteria; Bacillati; Actinomycetota; Actinomycetes; Micrococcales; Micrococcaceae.